UGAGUAACACGUAUCCAACCUGCCGUCUACUCUUGGACAGCCUUCUGAAAGGAAGAUUAAUACAAGAUGGCAUCAUGAGUCCGCAUGUUCACAUGAUUAAAGGUGUUCCGGUAGACGAUGGGGAUGCGUUCCAUUAGAUAGUAGGCGGGGUAACGGCCCACCUAGUCUUCGAUGGAUAGGGGUUCUGAGAGGAAGGUCCCCCACAUUGGAACUGAGACACGGCCCAG
This 227-nucleotide ribosomal RNA is filed under the name uncultured bacterium. RNAcentral describes it as "partial 16S ribosomal RNA". It matches the Rfam family "Bacterial small subunit ribosomal RNA", at positions 107 to 334 of the family's 1533-position model. The record is from RNAcentral.